GAUGAACGCUGGCGGCGUGCCUAAUACAUGCAAGUCGAGCGAACGGACGAGAAGCUUGCUUCUCUGAUGUUAGCGGCGGACGGGUGAGUAACACGUGGAUAACCUACCUAUAAGACUGGGAUAACUUCGGGAAACCGGAGCUAAUACCGGAUAAUAUUUUGAACCGCAUGGUUCAAAAGUGAAAGACGGUCUUGCUGUCACUUAUAGAUGGAUCCGCGCUGCAUUAGCUAGUUGGUAAGGUAACGGCUUACCAAGGCAACGAUGCAUAGCCGACCUGAGAGGGUGAUCGGCCACACUGGAACUGAGACACGGUCCAGACUCCUACGGGAGGCAGCAGUAGGGAAUCUUCCGCAAUGGGCGAAAGCCUGACGGAGCAACGCCGCGUGAGUGAUGAAGGUCUUCGGAUCGUAAAACUCUGUUAUUAGGGAAGAACAUAUGUGUAAGUAACUGUGCACAUCUUGACGGUACCUAAUCAGAAAGCCACGGCUAACUACGUGCCAGCAGCCGCGGUAAUACGUAGGUGGCAAGCGUUAUCCGGAAUUAUUGGGCGUAAAGCGCGCGUAGGCGGUUUUUUAAGUCUGAUGUGAAAGCCCACGGCUCAACCGUGGAGGGUCAUUGGAAACUGGAAAACUUGAGUGCAGAAGAGGAAAGUGGAAUUCCAUGUGUAGCGGUGAAAUGCGCAGAGAUAUGGAGGAACACCAGUGGCGAAGGCGACUUUCUGGUCUGUAACUGACGCUGAUGUGCGAAAGCGUGGGGAUCAAACAGGAUUAGAUACCCUGGUAGUCCACGCCGUAAACGAUGAGUGCUAAGUGUUAGGGGGUUUCCGCCCCUUAGUGCUGCAGCUAACGCAUUAAGCACUCCGCCUGGGGAGUACGACCGCAAGGUUGAAACUCAAAGGAAUUGACGGGGACCCGCACAAGCGGUGGAGCAUGUGGUUUAAUUCGAAGCAACGCGAAGAACCUUACCAAAUCUUGACAUCCUUUGACAACUCUAGAGAUAGAGCUUUCCCCUUCGGGGGACAAAGUGACAGGUGGUGCAUGGUUGUCGUCAGCUCGUGUCGUGAGAUGUUGGGUUAGGUCCCGCAACGAGCGCAACCCUUAAGCUUAGUUGCCAUCAUUAAGUUGGGCACUCUAAGUUGACUGCCGGUGACAAACCGGAGGAAGGUGGGGAUGACGUCAAAUCAUCAUGCCCCUUAUGAUUUGGGCUACACACGUGCUACAAUGGACAAUACAAAGGGCAGCGAAACCGCGAGGUCAAGCAAAUCCCAUAAAGUUGUUCUCAGUUCGGAUUGUAGUCUGCAACUCGACUACAUGAAGCUGGAAUCGCUAGUAAUCGUAGAUCAGCAUGCUACGGUGAAUACGUUCCCGGGUCU
This 1372-nucleotide ribosomal RNA is filed under the name uncultured bacterium. RNAcentral's name for it is "bacterial SSU rRNA". It matches the Rfam family "Bacterial small subunit ribosomal RNA", at positions 28 to 1381 of the family's 1533-position model. The record is from RNAcentral.